This 660-nucleotide ribosomal RNA is filed under the name uncultured bacterium. RNAcentral's name for it is "bacterial SSU rRNA". It matches the Rfam family "Bacterial small subunit ribosomal RNA", at positions 94 to 788 of the family's 1533-position model. The record is from RNAcentral.
AGUGGCGGACGGGUGAGUAACGCGUGAGAAUCUGCCUUGGGGUCGGGGACAACCACUGGAAACGGUGGCUAAUACCGGAUAAGCCGAUUGGUGAAAGAUUUAUUGCCCGAAGAGGAGCUCGCGUCUGAUUAGCUAGUUGGUGAGGUAAGAGCUCACCAAGGCAGCGAUCAGUAGCUGGUCUGAGAGGACGAUCAGCCACACUGGGACUGAGACACGGCCCAGACUCCUACGGGAGGCAGCAGUGGGGAAUUUUCCGCAAUGGGCGAAAGCCUGACGGAGCAAGACCGCGUGAGGGAGGAAGGCUCUUGGGUUGUAAACCUCUUUUCUCAGGGAAGAAGCUCUGACGGUACCUGAGGAAUCAGCCUCGGCUAACUCCGUGCCAGCAGCCGCGGUAAUGCGGAGGAGGCAAGCGUUAUCCGGAAUUAUUGGGCGUAAAGCGUCCGCAGGUGGCGAUUCAAGUCUGCUGUCAAAGCACGGGGCUUAACUCCGUAAAGGCAGUGGAAACUGAAUAGCUAGAGUGCCGUAGGGGUAGAGGGAAUUCCCGGUGUAGCGGUGAAAUGCGUAGAGAUCGGGAAGAACAUCGGUGGCGAAAGCGCUCUACUGGACGGCAACUGACACUCAGGGACGAAAGCUAGGGGAGCGAAUGGGAUUAGAUACCCC